Rhagoletis pomonella (apple maggot) is the source of this 3258-nucleotide RNA transcript. RefSeq lists it as uncharacterized. The record is from RefSeq and is a predicted model, not a curated record. The transcript is spliced from 2 exons. NCBI's taxonomy places the organism in Eukaryota, Metazoa, Arthropoda, Insecta, Diptera, Tephritidae.
CAAAAAUGUUUCAUCAUGUUUAAAAACUUUAUGUACAGAAUUCGGUUCCCUAAAGGAUGUUGUUGCUAAUUCUAAAUCAACUGCUAAGAUGAACAACAACAAGAAAAAGUUAAACCGUUUUCCUGACCUACGGAGAGCGAUGCCACCAACCUCGGCUAUGGAAAAUGUUUCACACUCUCAAACUGACAUGGUUGCUAAAUCGUCGGUUCUGUCAUUGGCUGAACCUUCGGCUUUUGAGAGUUCUGCGAUUGUUAACAAUGCACCCUCACUUACUCCAGCUGAGGCGGAUAAUAAUGAUACUUCGGAUGCUUUGCCGUCGGUUUCUCAACAAAUGCGAACUGCAUUAUCAGCUAAUAUGAUAACAGCAAACAAUGCUUCUUCAUCUUCUCCUGCUGACGUGAAUAAUGUCACUUCUGUCGCUGUGUCAUCAGCUUCUAAACAAAUGCCGACUGCGUUAUCAACUGCAUUGGCUACGGUUACUAAAACAUCUUCACCUUCCACUGCUGUUGUAAAUGCUACUCACAAUGCUUUGCCAUCUGCAUCUAAACAACUGCCAACUGCUUCGUCAGAUAUAUUAAAUGCUUCUACCCAGCCGCAACUCGGGGCUAAUUGGAUUACUGUGCCGCGAAAGAAAGUGCCCAAGCGGAGAAAUGUCGUGGUUGGCCGUAAUGAAAAUAAUGAUCUGGGAGUAUUUUCGCGUUUUAAGUGGCUCCAUUUAUCAUCGUUCAAGCCAACGGUUUCGGAAGUCGAUAUUAUUAAUUACGUGUCGAAUCAAGUCAUCGUUGAUAAGCAACAAAUUGCCUGCUAUAAACUGGUAAAGAAGGAUACAAAUGAGACAGCCCUUAAAUAUAUCAACUUCAAAUUGGGAGUUCCUGAACAUGUAUAUUUUAAUUUGCUGAAGCCAGAAAUCUGGCCAACAAAUGUUAAUAUUCGACAGUUCCGUUUUUUUCAAAAACAGGGAGGGCAACUGCCCCCGGCAUAGUUGCUUCUCCCAGGCCGAACAAGCACAUUAAACUCUAUUUUGAAAACGCCUCUGGACUCCGGACUAAGGCCGAUACUGUUCGAAUGCUAAGUGCGCACUUGGAGUAUGAUAUUUUUGUUAUCGUUGAGACUUGGCUCAAUGCAAAUUUUUUCGAUGCGGAGUUUUUCGACCCGAAUCAGUACGAUGUCUUUCGUAAAGACAGAGAUCCCAUUAAAACCGGAUGUAGCCGAGGUGGGGGAGUUUUAAUUGUGGCCCGUACUAAUCUCCAAGCUUCGUUUCUACCUCUUCAAAAUGAAGACACUAUCAUCGAUCAACUUUGUGUUCGUGUCAGUGGUUCCCUUGGAUUGCUGUAUAUUUGCGCCUCUUAUAUACCUCCACUUAGCUGUGCUAACUUAUACAUGUCGCAUGUUGACAAUGUGUUAGCUAUUCAUCGUAAUAUUGGGGACAACCAACUUUGUGUGCUUGGAGAUUUCAACUUAAGCAAUACAUAACUCUACCGCCGAGCGCAAAAAGUACAUCGGAGCAACCAUUAAGUGGCGAAACAUCGGCCUUUUUGCAAAGCACAUCUUUAAUGUUUGAGGCACAGGGGCGAAAUUAUCAAAUGAAAAAUGAGAGAGGAACAAUAAAUUUUCUGACGGAACAUGUUGUUGCUACAUUCGACAAUUGUAAGAUUUCUUAUAGAAAUUCCGUAAGAAUAAUAUCAGCUGUCGCGAUGGCCCUUAGAGUAGAUACUGAUAAUUUAAUUCUUAACAAGACUUCGUUUAAUGAACGUAGGUCGAAAAUUCGGAAAGAUGCUGCUGAACGUAUGAAGAAGUUAUUUGGUGACACUGAGGUUGGAGCUGCGGUGGUUCAUUGGGAUGGAAAAUUAAUACCAGAUGGACUAUCUAGUAAAAAGGUUGACCGAGUGCCUACAUAUAAUAAUUCGAAGCAUGACCGUUGAAAAAAUAUUAAACGUACCGGCAUUACCGGUUGGAAGAGGAAUAACUCAGGCUCAGGAAAUUUUCAAGAGUGUACAAGAAUGGGUAUUAUCUGACAAUAUCCAAAUCUUGUUUGUCGAAAUGGAGCAGCAACCAAUUUAGAGCAGUUUUUACAAAAAGAUCUUCUGUAUUUACCUUGUAGACAUCACAUCUACGAAUUGGUCUUAAAUUUUGUUUUUGUGACAAAAUUUCCGGGAACUGAUGGGCCAAACGUUCCUCUGUUUAAACAAUUUCAGGAAACUUGGAAUGUAAUUGAUCAAACUAAAUAUAAUAACGGUCUUACAAGAAAUAAAAUUCCUAAAAAACUGUUAGCAAAAGUUGAAAAAACAAAUGAAACGAUCAAAAACUUUCUAAGUGAAAUUCUGCCUCGCGAUGAUUAUAAAGAGCUUUUGGAGUUGUGUCAAAUUUUUCUUGGCACGAUGGAAGCUGAUAGUGUGAAAUUUUAUAAACCAGGAGCAUUUCACCAUGUCCGCUGGAUGUCAAAAGCGAUCUAUUCGCUGAAAAUAUUCAUUUUCCGGGACAUUUUUGAGGUAGAUCGAGCACUGCAACAAAGUCUUUUGGAUAUUUGUUUAUUCAUAGUAUUUGUUUACGUGCCAUUUAGGUUUACGGCACCUCUUGCAGCAUCGGCUCCAUAUCAAGACUUGAAUUUUGUAAAAACUGUACAUCAAUACAAGACGAUUGAUAAGAAACUUUCUGAAGCAGUCUUGCACAAAUUCAAAAAUCGUUUGUGGUAUUUGAAUGCUGAAGCUGCUGCUCUGGCUUUUUUCGAUCCGAAUAUACCGAUUUUUAUGAAACAUAAAAUGAUUGAAGCAUUAAAAUGCCAUGAAGAUAUGGAUUUUGAUUACCCUAAACGCUACGUAGUGAAUUCAGACAGUGAAAUUAUCAAUUUACAAAAAAGAGAUAUUUACUUUUUUAUUAAUUCUAAUUCGAGUAAAUAUUUUGAUCCAUUCAACAUAAAUAAAAAAUUUUUAGAGUGUGAUGUUGAAAAAUGGUCAACUAAUGAUGAUUACUUAGAAGGUUUGGAUAUUGUAAAUAAUCUGCAAGUUAUUAAUGAUGUAGCUGAGAGAGCAGUUCAGUUGACUCAAGAUUACAUCAAUAUUUUGACUACUAAAGAAGACCAAAAACAUUAUUUAAUACAAGUUGUACGUGAAUACAAGGAUACUUACCAUAACGCUACAAAAAGCUGCUUAACAACGAAACGUGAUUAAAAAGACAAAAAAAUAUUAAUAAUACAUCGUAAUAUUAGUUGUAAUGCAUUGUUUCCGUUAUUGUCACUGAAAAGAUUGGUCAAUAAAAUUG